Molecule: non-coding RNA, 3543 nt
Organism: Podarcis lilfordi (Lilford's wall lizard)
Lineage: Eukaryota; Metazoa; Chordata; Lepidosauria; Squamata; Lacertidae
Source: the annotation of a GenBank genome assembly
GCAACAGACAGAAACAGGAGGAAGUUGAUAGCUUUAAAACAAAGCAGCGACCCUUGAGGUUACUGAUUAGGAAGUAAGUCCCCUUGAACUCAGCGAGAAUUACUCCUGAAUAAACGUGGAGGGCUGGCCUGCCAAUUGCAUUGUAAUGGGGGGCGGGGAGAUCACUGCAUGUUGUGUUGGACCUCCCAAGUUUGGGAAAAACAAUUGCAGGAGAGUUUUAAAUGUGCGCUGAAGUGCAAUAAGUAUGCAGCUGUGCGAGAGGCAAAUUCCAGAGGCAUAGCCAUUUAAGCCUUGCAGUAACUGAAAAAGGGUAACCAAUUUAUUGCAACAUAACCAUUUAUUCACUCUAAACCAGGUCUGGAGAGUGUCAGGUCAGGAAUGGGUGAGUAAAGGCAGCCCUCCACAGCUCCCUGUCUUGGUACUCUCCCAAGCCAUGCCCCCUCCUGGCUGUGCAUCACACCCUCCUGCUUCACCUACCAGAGAUGCGUUGCGGUACUCAUUAGGCCUGGCACUCCUGUUCAGAUCCUGUAUUUCCUAAUGAGGAGUUAAAUCCACUCGCUUCGUGUGAUUGACCACUGGAUCACUCCUGUCAAUAAACAACGUGAGUGAGAGCGAUCAAAAUAGGUGUGAUUUCUGGAGAGCAGAUGCCAAAGAAGGUCGGAUCCUGUGCCUCUCAUAGGACGUUGCCCAGACUGUUGCAAUUUUCUGGUGGGAUUGAGUCACCAGCAAAUUCAGGCGGCACAGUUAUUAUUUACAGUGGUACCUCGGGUUACAAACGCUUCGGGUUACAGACGCUUCGGGUUACAAACUCCGCUAACCAGGAAGUGGUUGCUCCAGGUUAAGAACUUUGCCCCAGAAUAAGAACAGAAAUCGUUCGCCAGCGGCACAGCGGCAGCAGAAGGCCACAUUAGCGAAAGCACGCCUCAGGUUAAGAACUGUUUCAGGUUAAGAACGGACCUCUGGAACAAACUAAGUUCUUAACCUGAGGUACCACUGUAUUUGUUUGUUAAAUCUGUAUGCCGCCCUUCAUCUAUAGAUCUCAGGGCUGUUCACAAUGUAAAACUGGCUUGGCACUCUUGUGUAAGAACUUUGCCAGCCCCCCCGCCCCGAACUUUGUGUGAUAGGCAACUGCUCUAGGAAGUCUGGGAUAACAGUAGAUUGCUGCAAUGUCGCAAAGCUUCCCUACAGACAAAUCGGAAUGAAUGUUUGAUAAAGGGUUGAUGUUGCCUAAUCAACUUCUGCAAACUUUGUGCAAGUCCACCACUCCACAAGGAUGAAUAAUAAUAAUAAUAAUAAUAAUAAUAAUAAUAAUAAUUUAUUAUUUAUACCCCGCCCAUCUGGCUGGGCCUCCCCAGCCACUCUGGGCGGCUUCCGUAGAAACCAAAAAUGCACUAAAAUAUCACACGUUAAAAACUUCCCUGAACCUUAAGAUGUCUUCUGAAUGUCAGGUAGUUGUUUAUCGCUUUGACAUCUGGUGGGAGGGCGUUCCACAGGGCGGGUGCCACUACCGAGAAGGCCCUCUGCCUGGUUCCCUGUAGCUUUGCAGGGAAUGGGUUUGCAAGUUAUUUCUCUCUCCCUGUUGUUAACUUUAUUUUGCGUCUGCAUUGGUUCUUCUUCCAAUACAAAAAACAGGCUUGUCUGGAAGUGACCAUAGCAAUAUAUGCGAUGCCAUGUUUGGUAGGCAGAGAAACACAAGGGGGACCUGCAACAAAAUGUGCCCCCUCUUCAACUGUGUUCUACCUCCUCGAAUGUUCAGUGACCAUCGAUGAAAGCAAAAAGUUCAUUUGCUACCAAACUUUUUAAAAAUUUCAACGGCCUUUGACCUCCUUCAUCUCUGGCCACCGUAAUCCCAAGCAGGCACCUUCCAUUUUAUGUGCAGGAGAAAGCAAGUGGAUUUCUUUUUAAAUCAGUGGAAGGUUUGGGUAUGCAGCUCUUUGAAAUAAGUGGCAGACAGCAGUUCGUGAGCUUAGAUUAGGGACUCGCUGUGAGGGAGUGGGAAUUCGCAACAAAGCACAGUCACAUUAUAUGUUAUACAUACCUUUCAACUGUAUAGAAGCCUCAAAUACCAAUAUUUAUUUUGUAAAGGUUCUCUUCCAUAUUUACACCAAUCAUAUACUGGGCCACUUUCCUCCAAAUUCAGGCCCCUUCUCCCUUCGACAUGUCAUUUCCCAGUACUAAUUUCCCAUUUUUCCACAACAAAGGUUCUUAAAAACCCCUGUUCCCUGCAUUGUAUCCUUCUGGAUACACCCAAAAGGGACUCCUUGAAUCUGGCAGAGAAUCUCUUCCUCCCACUGAACGCCCAUGCCCUACACCCACCAUUAAGCAGACGUGAGUCAUACCCAUUCCUUUGUGGGAUAUCGACUUCCCCGUAGGGAAUUUGCCUUACGUGAAGCACCUUUUUCUAGUUGCUCCUCUAUUCCAAGCACACAAGGGGGAGCCAAUCGCUAAACAGUUUUAACAGGAAAUGCCUUUAUCCCAGAACGGGUUUGCAAGUUAUUUUUCUCUCCCUGUUGUUAACUUUAUUUUGCAUCUGCAUUGGUUCUUCUUCCACUGCAAAAAAUAUUUGUAAUUCAUUUGAGCCCUGUCACAAAGAUGCAACUGCAUUUCUUCCAGCCCCGCGAGGGACCGUAGCUGGAAGCAUCUGGAAUGAACAUCAUCAACAUGGAUGCACAAAUCCAGCCUUCACAGGGGCUUAUUUUCAAAGCAUUGUAAACGGACUUUCCCGAUGCUGUGUUCCAUUUCCGAUGAUUUCGGCUUCGGUGCUCCUCACAGCUGGCCUGGAUCUCUGUCAGCUAGAGCGGCUUGGCAAUCAGUUCCCAAGAGGAUGCUACUGAACCUGUGAGCGCAUUCAGGUUCCCCAUAGAUUUCUCUGAGCCAUCAGAAGGUGUGGUUCUUCUCCAGGUGGCCUGUUUGUGGAGCAUUCAUCCUGAAGGCUGGCGCAAAGCUAAUGCAGAGAUUAGACAACGCCUCUUCUUUAUUGAGUGACCGAUAUCUCGUUAUACAUAUUCCCAUUAAUAAUCUGCUCAUUCCACACUUUGUAGUGUACCCCCAUCACUUUCCUAACUAUACAAAGCCUUUUUAAAAAAAGUGGGUUUGUUGUGCCAGAACAUUUUAAUCCACUUUGAUUGCAGAAACCUAAAUUUCCGGUAUGCGACUGAACGAAUCCCUCCAACAAAAUGCUGACAGCCUGGAGGCGACCUUGAAUGGAACGAUUGAGCAUUGCAAUGUGGAAAAAGAUUAAUUCCUUGACUCUCAUGAGUCGGCCUUGGCUUUAAUCGGCCAUUGGCCUCUUCUGCCUUGACUGAUAAGAUGGAAGGAGGAGAUUCCCUCGAUCUUCCCUAGCAGUGACAGCCCGAAAAUGACCGAUAUAUCGAUCUGUCCAAUUCAUUUAAGGCGUUCACUGCUGUUCAGAAAUAGCUCAGCCCCCACCCCCUUCACAUUUGCUCACUUAACAGCAUGUUUUCGUUCCCCUGUGGGCUUGGACCGAGAAACGAAAAUCCCUGUGUAUUCCACUUCCUGAACUAGGCACUCUUUACUUGCAAC